UACGGGGGGGGCAAGCGUUGUUCGGAAUUACUGGGCGUAAAGGGCUCGUAGGCGGCCAACUAAGUCGGACGUGAAAUCCCCAGGCUCAACUUGGGAACUGCGUCUGAUACUGGAUGGCUUGAAUUCGGGAGAGGGAUGCAGAAUUCCAGGUGUAGCGGUGAAAUGCGUAGAUAUCUGGAGGAAUACCGGUGGCGAAGGCGGCAUCCUGGACCGAUACUGACGCUGAGGUGCGAAAGCGUGGGGAGCAAACAGG
Molecule: ribosomal RNA, 253 nt
Filed under: uncultured bacterium
Lineage: Bacteria
Description: partial 16S ribosomal RNA
Rfam family: Bacterial small subunit ribosomal RNA
Source: RNAcentral